Molecule: ribosomal RNA, 375 nt
Filed under: uncultured bacterium
Lineage: Bacteria
Description: bacterial SSU rRNA
Rfam family: Bacterial small subunit ribosomal RNA
Source: RNAcentral
AAUCAACGCUGGCGGCGUGCCUCAGACAUGCAAGUCGAACGCGAAAUUUCCCUUCGGGGAGAAAGUAGAGUGGCGCACGGGUGAGUAACACGUAGGUAAUUUGCCUUUGGGUGGGAGUAACUCAGCGAAACUUGAGCUAAUACCGCAUAAUGCAGCGGCUCGACAUCGAGACAGUUGUUAAAGCGGGGGAUUGGAACAAUCCGACCUCGCGCCUAAAGAGAAGCCUGCGGCAGAUUAGCUAGUUGGUAAGGUAAUGGCUUACCAAGGCGACGAUCUGUAACCGGCCUGAGAGGGCGGUCGGUCACACUGACACUGACAUACGGGUCAGACUCCUACGGGAGGCAGCAGUCGGGAAUUUUGGGCAAUGGGCGCAAG